UCGAGGAUCUUCGGCAAUGGGCGCAAGCCUGACCGAGCGACGCCGCGUGCGCGAUGAAGGCCUUCGGGUUGUAAAGCGCUGUCGAGGGGGAGGAAAGCCGCAAGGUCUGACCUAUCCCUGGAGGAAGCACGGGCUAAGUUCGUGCCAGCAGCCGCGGUAAGACGAACCGUGCGAACGUUGUUCGGAAUCACUGGGCUUAAAGGGCGCGUAGGCGGUCGUUCAAGUCUCGGGUGAAAUCUUUCGGCCCAACCGGAAAAGGGCCCGGGAUACUGAGCGACUCGAGGGGGAUAGGGGCGGACGGAACUUCCGGUGGAGCGGUGAAAUGCGUUGAUAUCGGAAGGAACGCCGGUGGCGAAAGCGGUCCGCUGGACCCCUACUGACGCUGAGGCGCGAAAGCCAGGGGAGCGAACGGGAUUAGAUACCCCCGUAGUCC
RNAcentral lists this ribosomal RNA (433 nucleotides) under uncultured bacterium. RNAcentral's name for it is "bacterial SSU rRNA". It matches the Rfam family "Bacterial small subunit ribosomal RNA", at positions 355 to 796 of the family's 1533-position model. The record is from RNAcentral.